Molecule: long non-coding RNA, 730 nt
Filed under: Salvia miltiorrhiza (redroot sage)
Lineage: Eukaryota; Viridiplantae; Streptophyta; Magnoliopsida; Lamiales; Lamiaceae
Description: long non-coding RNA (SMIL_LNC014090)
Source: RNAcentral
GUAAAUUUUGGGGUCGCGUAAGAAGCUUCACCGGCAUUAAUUGGUAAACCCACCUUCUUAUUUCCUCUAUAAAUAACCUUUGAAAAACUCAGACACAAGCCACCUCUCGAUUGCUUUUAUUCUUUCAAAAAGAAAAAUAAAAAACAAGAAAAUGAUGUUGGUAGUGAGUUUAACGGCAGCGGCGGGCCAUUUGGAUACGUGGCCUCCUAUAGUGACGCAGGCACAGGCAGCCCAUUCUUUUUGGGCUAGGAGCCUCGUUCACGCCGCCGACUGCGCUAGCUGCCCAGGAAGCUGACGGUAGAGGACUACCUAGCUCAACCUUAACUACCAGCCAGCUUGUAUUUUAUUUUGUUUUUAUUAUUUUAUCCUCGAAUUUGCAAGUUCGGGGUACUCUCGAACGACGCGGGCACUGGUAGCCCUUACUUCUUCCUUGUCAAAACUUCACCCGGCGGGGAGUGGUGCACAGAAACACCCACGAGCCUUUCAUUUAGAAUGAAAAACAAAUUCAAUUACACUAAGAUUUCUUUAUUAAUAAGGCCGCGUCGCCGACGCUACCUCAAUGUCAACUAGCCUUAUCUUUUUUUCUUUGUUAUUGUAUCCGCUGCUGCUUACUAGCUUGCUUAUCUUGUCUUCUUUUCUUUAUUAUUUGUAUCCGCUACUGCUUACUAGCUUGCUUAUCUAAUUCUAAUGUAUAUAUUAUUAUCAGCAAUGUUAAGUUUCCAUAUGCCUG